AAAAUUUCUCUAAUGAAAAGAGAAACAUUUAAUAACAUCUAUAUUUCCACAAAAUCCGGCUAGGAGAUAAUUGCUGGUCCUUGAGGAUUGAACACUUUGCAAACUGUCUUUUAAUAGGAGUCAAACUCUGAUGCAGAUGCUCAGGCGAACUUGGCCGUUGAACUUGCCGAUGGUCAAAUUCAGGAGGAGGUAGAGAAAUGACAAAAGGGCACUUGACUUUAUCGUCGUCCAUGGCAGAAAAAUGUAGUAACGGUACAGACAAAAAGGUUCAUGAUUUGCUAAAUCUUUUGAGAUUCAAUCAUGAGAUUAAUCGUGAAGCUGAAGUUGAAGUGGAGAAAGAACAGUACAGCUCCUUCUAAACAGUAUGAUCAUGUGGAAUGAAGGUCUGCUUUUCUCUGAAUAAGUAUAUCAUAAUUGACUCGGUGCAACUGAUUUGUCGGUGACAGAGGUUUGAUGCAAAUGUAUGCUCAUCAUAUUGGUAUUUUUUUCAUGUAAUAAUUUUUUGAACUUUAUUUUAGUUGGCCCUACUCUUCACAUUGGUAGUUAUAGAUAUGUAUCAGAUCUUCUAGAUUUUAACAUGACUUUUAUUGCGUUAUAAUAUCUUUAUAUUAUUUGGUAGCAUAUUUGUA
Lycium barbarum (goji berry) is the source of this 629-nucleotide long non-coding RNA. RefSeq lists it as uncharacterized. NCBI's taxonomy places the organism in Eukaryota, Viridiplantae, Streptophyta, Magnoliopsida, Solanales, Solanaceae. The transcript has 3 exons. The record is from RefSeq and is a predicted model, not a curated record.